RNAcentral lists this ribosomal RNA (391 nucleotides) under uncultured bacterium. Its description in RNAcentral is "bacterial SSU rRNA". It matches the Rfam family "Bacterial small subunit ribosomal RNA", at positions 28 to 417 of the family's 1533-position model. The record is from RNAcentral.
GACGAACGCUGGCGGCGUGCUUAACACAUGCAAGUCGAGCGGUAAGGCCCUUUCGGGGGUACACGAGCGGCGAACGGGUGAGUAACACGUGGGUGACCUGCCCUCAGCUCUGGGAGUAAGCCUGGGAAACCGGGUCUAAUACUGGAUAUGACUCCAUGACGCAUGUUGUGGGGUGGAAAGCCUUGUGCGGCUGAGGAUGGGCCCGCGGCCUAUCAGCUUGUUGGUGGGGUGANGGCCUACCAAGGCGACGACGGGUAGCCGGCCUCGAGAGGGCGACCGGCCGACACUGGGACUGAGACACGGCCCAGACUCCUACGGGAGGCAGCAGUGGGGAAUCUUGCGCAAUGGGCGAAAGCCUGACGCAGCGACGCCGCGUGAGGGAUGACGGCCU